GAUGAAGAACGUAGCGAAAUGCGAUAAGUAAUGUGAAUUGCAGAAUUCAGUGAAUCAUCGAAUCUUUGAACGCAUCUUGCGCUCCUUGGUAUUCUGAGGAGCAUGCCUGUUUGAGUGUCAUGAAAUUCUCAACCUUUUCAGCUUUCUUUGUUGAUCAGGCUUGGAUGUGGGAGUAUGCGGGCUUCUCAGAAGUCGGCUCUCCUGAAAUGCAUUAGCGGGACCUUUGUUGCCUGGCUUUGGUGUGAUAAUUAUCUACGCCAUUGUAGUCAAGCAGCUUAAAAUGAGGUUUCAGCUUCUAACCGUCUCCCCUGAGACAACUUUUUGACAAUUUGACCUCAAAUCAGGUAGGACUACCCGCUGAACUUAAGCAUAUCAAUAAGCGGAGGA
This 387-nucleotide unclassified non-coding RNA is filed under the name soil metagenome. RNAcentral describes it as "partial contains 5.8S ribosomal RNA, internal transcribed spacer 2, and large subunit ribosomal RNA". The stretch from base 1 to 120 matches the Rfam family "5.8S ribosomal RNA", at positions 35 to 154 of the family's 154-position model. The record is from RNAcentral.